GGGCCUACCCUGCUGAAACAUGGCUUCAGUGAUGCAAUUGCUCAAGUAGGUUUGGUCAAGUUCGUCACAGAUCUUUUCUGGGUCGGUAUGUUUUACCAUCUCUACAAUCAGGUAAUUGUUAAACUUUUGACGAGUUUGAAAUAACUUUUUUUGUGAAGUGGUAAUGAUGUAUCUCUUAUAUUUACAUCUUUCAUAAUCAGGUUGCCACCAAUACACUCGAGAGAGUGGCACCUCUUACUCAUGCAGUUGGCAACGUACUGAAACGUGUGUUUGUUAUUGGAUUUUCAAUUGUAAUCUUUGGUAAGUAUUAUUUUCUUCAAUGCUAUUGUACUUCAAUUUCCACCCAAGUAUAUUUUAUUAUUGUGUUUCAUCCCUUCAAGAUAGAGUAAUCAAACAUUCUGAGUGGCAAAUUGAUUAACACAGGUAACAAGAUUUCUACCCAAACUGGUAUUGGAACAGCCAUUGCAAUUGCUGGUGUGGCACUGUACUCCCUCAUCAAGGCCAAGUUGGAGGAAGAGAAGCGAGUGAGUCUUUCUUUAACAUGAUUUCUACCACAACUGUAUUUUUGAAACUUCAAAUUUUUAUUGUGCAUUGCCAACAAUCACUGCCUAAAUGCUUUAAUGGAAGAUGUAGCCAGAGUGCAGGUGCGAUAUGGUUAUGGAAACUUCCAGAACCGCGAUAUCGCUGGCCGCAAUUCGUACUACGGGCUGCAACUUAAAACCACAUGUUACUAUAUAUAGUUACACUCUUCUAGCAAGUAAUAAAUUUUUGAAUUGUUGAUGAUCAGAAAUUUCUGAACUAAUGUCGUACUUUUAGAUGGUUUUACCUUACCCCUCCAGAAUGCACAGGCUAAAUAGCAUCACAAAAAUUAACACCUUUUUUUCUUCUUAAUUUUCUUUUCAGCAAG
Molecule: long non-coding RNA, 907 nt
Filed under: Lupinus angustifolius (narrow-leaved blue lupine)
Lineage: Eukaryota; Viridiplantae; Streptophyta; Magnoliopsida; Fabales; Fabaceae
Description: long non-coding RNA (LANG_LNC000978)
Source: RNAcentral